GAUGAACGCUGGCGGCGUGCCUAAUACAUGCAAGUCGAGCGAACAGACGAGGCGCUUGCUCCUCUGACGUUAGCGGCGGACGGGUGAGUAACACGUGUAUAACCUACCUAUAAGACUGGGAUAACUUCGGGAAACCGGAGCUAAUACCGGAUAAUAUAUUGAACCGCAUGGUUCAAUAGUGAAAGACGGUUUUGCUGUCACUUAUAGAUGGAUCCGCGCCGCAUUAGCUAGUUGGUAAGGUAACGGCUUACCAAGGCAACGAUGCGUAGCCGACCUGAGAGGGUGAUAGGCCACAUUGGAGGGGAGACGGGGUCAAGGCGACUGCGGGAAGCAGCAGUAGGGAAUCGUCCGCAAUGGGCGAAAGCCUGACGGAGCAACGCGGCGUGAGUGAUGAAGGUCUUCGGAGCGUAAAACUCUGUUAUGAGGGAAGAACAAAUGUGGAAGUAACUAUGCACGUCUUGACGGUACCUAAUCAGAAAGCCACGGCUAACUACGUG
Molecule: ribosomal RNA, 497 nt
Filed under: uncultured bacterium
Lineage: Bacteria
Description: partial 16S ribosomal RNA
Rfam family: Bacterial small subunit ribosomal RNA
Source: RNAcentral